Molecule: non-coding RNA, 484 nt
Filed under: Pongo abelii (Sumatran orangutan)
Lineage: Eukaryota; Metazoa; Chordata; Mammalia; Primates; Hominidae
Source: RNAcentral
UAGGGUCUGAUUGCUGCCUGAGACACCAUAUCGGUACUCCUCAGAGUUGGUGGCUGCCAUGAGAUAGUCAUGUGUUCAGGAGUAACAUCCAGAAUAUUAAUAGGACCUGUUGGUGGCCCAGGAACAUCAAGAACAGUAAGAUGUACUGCUACUGUUUUGCUACCAGCUGCAUUGGAAACUGUGAUUUGAUAUUCCCCAGUGUCUCUCCUUAAGCAGUUCUUAAUGAGAAUAGACACCUUGAUGGCUCCUCUGGCAGUUCUUGAUGACCAUGGAUGAGCUAAUGGCUGUGGUCUCAAUGGUGGCUUCUUGAGGAGCAUGCAGAGAAAUUGUUUUAGCCUCUGAUAAAUAAAACAGCCUGCCAUGAGAAAAUUACAGCAAGGAAAUUACAGACAUCAUCUCCUUUGAAUAGGGAAAAGGUAACAGUUACAUCUUUGAGAGGGGUGAGGAAUUUGAGCCGGAUUCCUAUCAAGAAAAAAAGAAAGAA